Molecule: ribosomal RNA, 388 nt
Filed under: uncultured bacterium
Lineage: Bacteria
Description: bacterial SSU rRNA
Rfam family: Bacterial small subunit ribosomal RNA
Source: RNAcentral
AUUGAACGCUGGCGGCAUGCCUUACACAUGCAAGUCGAACGGCAGCGCGGGAGCAAUCCUGGCGGCGAGUGGCGAACGGGUGAGUAAUAUAUCGGAACGUGCCCAGUAGUGGGGGAUAGCCCGGCGAAAGCCGGAUUAAUACCGCAUGAGACCUGAGGGUGAAAGCGGGGGAUCGCAAGACCUCGCGCUAUUGGAGCGGCCGAUAUCAGAUUAGCUAGUUGGUGGGGUAAAGGCCUACCAGGGCAACGAUCUGUAGUUGGUCUGAGAGGACGACCAGCCACACUGGGACUGAGACACGGCCCAGACUCCUACGGGAGGCAGCAGUGGGGAAUUUUGGACAAUGGGCGCAAGCCUGAUCCAGCAAUGCCGCGUGCAGGAAGAAGGCCUC